AUGUUCGUAAUUAAACGUGUUCUAAAUAUCUUCCAUGAACUCUCAGACUGUCAUAAAUGGCUUCACCCAAAAGCAGCAGCGGUCAAAAUUCAAAUGGUAUCCAGAAGAUUUUGGGAGAUCGACCGCCUCCUCUGGUGCUUCCUGGACAUGCCGGCAGACCUCGACAGGCCGGCAGACCUCGACAUGCCGGAUGAUGGGGGCAGGGACGGACAUGACCAAUCUGGGAUAAUUAUUCAUAUUUGUUUAGGUGGGCAUCUGAAUUUUGCUGAAGUUCACCGGUGCCACCGAGAGAUCUACGAAGGAAAGCAUCCUUUGUCGGCUUACAGAAGGUUUAGAUAA
This 339-nucleotide ribosomal RNA is filed under the name Triticum aestivum (bread wheat). RNAcentral's name for it is "partial small subunit ribosomal RNA". Lineage: Eukaryota; Viridiplantae; Streptophyta; Magnoliopsida; Poales; Poaceae. The record is from RNAcentral.